GGGGCGCCGCGGGCAGUCUGCCGCUGCCACCUCAGCCGCGCUCUGUGCCGACUGACGCCCGCCGCUCACCGCCCGGAGCUGACGGUCCCACCACGCUCGCCGCCGCCACUGCCGGCACGACAGAUUCAUCCAUGAGCUCGGAUUUCCCACAUUACAACUUCAGGAUGCCUAAUAUUGGAUUCCAGAAUCUGCCACUCAACAUAUAUAUUGUGGUUUUUGGCACUGCUAUAUUUGUCUUCAUCCUUAGUUUACUCUUCUGUUGCUACUUGAUUAGGCUAAGACAUCAAGCACACAAAGAAUUUUAUGCCUACAAACAGGUUAUAUUAAAAGAAAAAGUAAAAGAACUGAAUUUACAUGAGCUCUGUGCAGUGUGCCUAGAAGACUUCAGGCCUCGAGAUGAGUUGGGGAUUUGUCCAUGUAAGCAUGCCUUCCACAGAAAGUGCCUUAUUAAGUGGCUGGAGGUUCGCAAAGUAUGUCCACUGUGCAACAUGCCGGUUCUGCAGCUGGCCCAGUUGCAUAGUAAGCAGGACCGUGGACCCCCACAGGGGCCCCUCCCUGGGGCAGAGAACAUUGUAUAGCUCAUCACAAGGAUCAAACUGUUGCAGAAGCCAAUGUCUGCGUGGAGCCAGGAGGAACACAAGCAGUCUCCGUGUUGGCUGCUCUACCUGGGGCACCAGCUGCUGCUUCCUUUGUCUAAUGAAGAACUCUUGGGCCAACUAGGCUGGGAACCGAGACUUCUGGGUCUUGUGACAACCAAAGUACUCUGACACCACCCCAUGCCAAGAGAAGAGGAGUAGAUGAGCCUGCGGGUUUGGUUCAAGAAACCUCAUGAGGGUCUCUUGCUAACUCCAUUGCACUCUGUCUCCCAGACACUUAUCUCCAUGUCAAGGUGAAUCUUUACCAAGCAUAAGGGACGAUAAACACAAGUGUUCGAGAAGGGAACUGAGGGCAGGUCUUUAAAGCCACCCCCACCCCGACCCUGUGGACACAUGAGCUUCUAUGCAGACCGUGCAUGCCUUUGCAGCAGCAAACCCUCCUAGCAGCCCCAGCCAAGUAAAAACAGUGGUUACCUCAGCCCAAGCACAACCGGCUGCAGUGCCGGAGGCAGUGCCAACAAGGCUUUUCACGUUAUGUCCCUUUGAUAAGGCCAUCUUAGAACCCAAGGGCUUUGGUUACAAAAAAGCAGCAGUACCCAUCACCACAGGUCCUGCCUCAAGUUCACAACACUUGCUUAUCAAAUCAUCUAAGCUAGAAACAUUAGAUGUGCUUGGAAAGGUCUGGUCAAAAGCCAUUUCCUCUUAUUUCCCCUCCUACUCACCAGUGAGGCACAGCCAAGCUGCCAUCAGGAGCCCCAGCAGGGGUUGGGCCUCUGAGCCCAUGCUGUCCCUGUAUGACCUGGGGGCCUCAGGGUGCUGCCCACAUUCCCACAUACGCAGUGUGGUUCCAGCAUACCUGCUGGUCUUGGCCCACUGCCUCAGUAGGAAGCUGCUGUAAGCCCCUCACAUGGCUCCAAAGAGGAGCAUCUUACUGAUAACGGCCAGUCCCCUUGGCCCUGCUGAGCUGAGAGGAGGAUGCUAACCCCCUUGCUUCUCCCCAUCCUUCUUUCUGUUCUCUUCCCUCUCUUGCCCUCUCUUUCUACUCAAAAGAAAAUGCUCAUCGUUGACUUAACAAUUUAAAGUAUCCCAAAUAAGAUCCCUAUGUAAUUCUGAAGCCAGGGAAAUGCUAGAAAUUGUGAAUAGUUUCAGGAAGCUCCUGCAAGGCUAUUCACCAUUGGUGUGUGCUUCAGUAUUUGGACUUGGAUAACUAACUGAAAGUGUCUUUAUAGGGGAGAAAUGCAUGCUGCUCUUUUGCUCUUUCUGUCCAACUUUUCUAGAAAUGACUCAGAGUCUAGCAGGAUUCAUGACUAUUUUGUAAGUUAGCUAUGUGAAACAGCAUUGGGUCAGAUAGAAAGCUCUCUUCCACAGCCCUGCUCUCCACCUCCUUCCAUCACAGGGGUGGGACUCCUCAUCAACAGCUUUGCCUCUCUGCUCCAUCCCCCAAGUAUGAGUGGGGGCAGUUUCUCAUUGGAAAUGCAGCCUGCAUGAUACGGAGAGUGGAGGAAACUUUGCUACUCUGUUCAUGGCGUAUCUCCAGGAAUUUUCUUGGAAUCCAGCCUCUACCGUCUUAGAAUGGGCGAGGGAACCUGUCCUUGGCUCAGGUGGCUGGGAUCAGAUGAGGAGGAAAAUUCCCAUUAGCCUAGAAAAGUGCUGGGCAGAAUCCAGUUUGGGAAAUUACAAAUCCAGUUGGUUGGAAUUGGCUGUACCCUAUGUGUGACCUAUUCAUGGUAUGCUAACUGGACUGCUUCUUUAAACAGGGCAAGGGAAGUGUGGAAUAUUUUUAUAUGAAAGCCUUAGUCUGUCUGGCACCCAUGAAAAGAACUAUUUGUACACUCCUACUUUCACCCUCUGUUUCUGCAUUCUCUAUUGUGUAGCACAAUAGAGUUGAAUGCUGCAAAGCACCCAGUUUAUAGUGAAAUGUUUUCAGUGACCAAUGUCAGAAGUAGGCUUACUUUGGACUAGCCUCAUUAAUAGCCAACACUCACCAUUUUCACAUAAUGGCUUUGGGACAAAUGUCACCUCUUAGUUAUGGGGUUCCAAUAGGAAACAGAACUUUUCCCUUCAAAGGAGGAAUUCUUGUGUUCUAUACUGCAAAUUAUUUCAUAGCACAGCUUUUGUAGGAUUAUAGCCUUUCAGUGCGUCAGUACCAAGGAGACAGCCUCACGAAGUCCCUCUAUUUGUAGGGAGGCAAAUUAAUUCAUCUCACCGUGUCACAGCUAAAGGCCAGUUGGACCAGACAUUCAAAGCCCAUCCGUUAGAGGAAAGCUUGAGAGUGCUGUGCGCUCCCCACUAGGCACCAUCAUGAGUCUGCUUUACACCAUGACCUCAACACUUGUGAAUGUGCAGGGCUUUUAAAAACCCAGCUCUUCUAAGGUGGGUCUUGACACUGGAGUGGUUAAGAGUGUUCGCUCUGCUUAUAAUCAUCUUCCCUUUCUUGGCUUGGUGUCCUUCUAUUGCAGCAUGGCCAGUGUCACCUGCAGUAGUUAUUACUCUUAGCAACACAACGUGAAUGUGUUUGCUCCCCACAUCUGGGUCCUCCUCCAGAACGUCCCAGUGCUGCACUGCUGUAACUGAGAACGGCCAGGGUUUAAUUUAUGUCUUCCUUUAAUUCUAAUUAAAAUCACAGUUUUAUGUGAAGGACAAGGUCAAAUCUCCAUUCAAAAAAAAUUAUUUUUAAAGAACAAGGAUCCCUUAAUACUCUUUGAUCAAGCUCACACCUCACAGUGAGGCUGCCCUGUCCAAAUCUAUCUCCAUGAGUUGUUGACCUUUUGUUAAUCUGUAGACAUGUGAGGACUCUGGUCUGCUUUUGGGUCACUGGCAGGUAACGUGAUUUUUUAACUUCAUCUUAAUGUGUCUUAAGCAACUCAGAGAUUGGGUGUUGCGUGCUGUGGGUUAGUGGAGCAAAACUCAGACUCAACUGGACUCCAUGGGUGGGUGAAUCAUUAUCUAGUUGUUACUAGGGGUACAGCUGAAUUCAGCUGGCUUUAGGAACAGGGAACAAAACCAGCCUGACUUGAUUCCUGGUUGAGUAGGCCUAACAUGCUAGUUGUCAUCUGCUGCUUUUCUUUGCCACAGUGAUUUGGUUAGGCCUAUUCCUAGUAGUUAAGGCCCUAGCGAAGGAACAGGACAAGACAGUAAUGGCCAGAUGGGAGCAGGUGGCCCAUGGGGAAGUCUGGGCUGAGGGAUACAAGGGACCUCACACCAUUGCCAAACACACUGUUCUCGACAAGUCUUGACAAAGAUCCUUUCCCCAGUGCCUAGCCCCUCAAAUCCAUCAAACGAAUGACCUCACGCCCUGUUCCUUUCCACAUUACCCACUCCAAAGCCUAUCAUCUUCAUGGCCUGGUCCCAUGCUGCUAAGCUGCCCUGAACGACAACUGUUUUUCUGAGAGGUUUUCUGGGAAUUAUGAAAUGCACACAGGGAGGCAUCCCCAGAGCUCUGUAGAGAAAAGGUGCUCAGCUUGAUUUGAAUCAUCCCCUUGCCACUCACUAGCCACAUCCCUUCUUGCAAGUUAGCCUCCCAAAACCUGUUCCCUUAUCCACCCACCCAGGGAUUAUAGGAAGGGUGUCCCCACCAGCUCUUGUGGGGAAUUGGCCACCAUGUCUGGAGCCCAGCAGGCAGGCCUAGAGUCAUGGGGGCUGGUGCUACUAGGUGACACCGUCAUGCUGGCCACAUGGGGCUCCUCUGUUGUCCCGGUAGAAACAACCUCAGCAGAGAGCCUCCUGAGAUGUAGGGGCUUUCCCCUGGGUCCCAGUUCACCUGGCUCCCUUCCCUUUCCCCUCUUGAUCUUCCUUAGUCACUUCCGUUUACCUUUGCCCACGGUGCUCCCCAACAUGGUUGCUCAGUGCUGAAUAUUCCCUAAUUUUUUGAAUAGGUAAUCCCUUCAAGUGGUUCACAAAUCAUAAACAGUUAAGUCUUCCUUGCAUCCCUGACCUCCAAGCAAGCCAAGUUCCUCACCCCUUGAGCACCCACUAUUAGUUCCUUGUGGAUUCUUCCAGAGAUUAUUUAUGCAUAUACAAGUACAUACACAUGUAUGUAUAUAUGCAUGGGGCGUGGGUGUGUGUAUAUAUAUAUACACACAGACACACACACACAGUUGACACUUGAACAACACAGGUUAGGGGCGCUGACCCCCUGUACAGCCUGCGCAUCACUUUACAGUCAGCCCUCUAUAUCCGCGGUUCAGCAUCCAAGGAUUCAACCAACUUUGGAUCAUGUAGAAUGUAUUCAUUGAAAAAAAUCCACGUGUAAGUAGACCUGCUCAGUUCAAACCUAUAUUGUUCAAGAAUCAACUGUGUGUAUGUGUAUAAGUUUUUUUCUUUUUUACUUGUGUAAUACCAGACAAGUAUAUUCAAGGAACAUUCCUAGUCAUGUGGGAAGAACCAUCCCAGAAGUCAGAAUAUCUGUAAAAGGUGAGCCCAGAAUUGGGGGAUAUUUCUAUAAUCACAUUCCUUUUGAAGAAGGCAUAUUUUCCACUGAUUGCAGCAUGAUGAAAUUCUAGUUUGCUAUCCCAAUCAAACUACAAUCCCUCCCUGACCCUAACCACUGAUGCCCAAACAAGAAGACAGCACAACCAGUUUCCAGCCUAUCUUUCUGAGUCUGUUGCAGGGCACUCAAGAGCAGGCUCCACAGCCAAAAGCAACAGCACAGUCCAGCAGCUUUUGCAGGAGCCUGGACAGGCUGCAGCCGCACCUCAGCCCCCCAAUCCAGUUUCAAGUGAGGACCAAGAGCCCAGCAGUGACGUCUGGUUACAACUGUCAUGGUUUCUUAGGCAAGCCCAUGUUUUUGAGGCAGUAGUUUGAGAAGCAGCAGUAACUGAAGGCUGAGACAUACUUCUGUUUUGUGGGGCAGAUGUCUCAGAUGUUGCUAAGCCAAUAGGUGGUCAGCUGCCUCAGCAUUAACAGCGAUAUGGCCGAACGUUCAAGUUCAUGAACCUACUCCCUUUCCCUUCCCACUCUUUAUGAACACACUAAAAAGAAAAUGUUCCCAUAGAAUUUCUCCUCACCCAACAUUUUUUCAACAGCAAUUAUCCCACCAACAUUUUCUUUAAAAUUAAGUUCAUUCUUGCCCCUGCAGGAGAUCCAGGUUAAAGCUGCUUCCUCCAGGCAGCCUUGGGGGGAGGGGCAUGGACUUGUGCCUCUCAUUCCUCACCCACCUCCUUGGUAUCCUGCCACACAGAACAGCAGCCCAGGGAUUCCCUAGAUUAAAAGUGCAACUUGGGCCCCUGACCUGAAACUUGCAAAGGAAUUGUAUGUGAAACUCCACUCUUCUGUCAUUUGAUGAACCUCUUGUCUUUUUCAUCGUUAGCAUUUAGGAAUUUGAGUAAAGGAGAUGAAAGUGUCUAAAUUCUGGUGAAAGGUGCAGUUGUUAACUGGAAAAUGCUGGGUCAUGUUCCUUUAGUAGAUUAACAAAGGCUUCCACGUGCCAUGGAAUGUGCUUCCAUUUGACUGGGAACAUGAGGAAAACAGAGGGGCUUGUUCAGUAAAUAUUAUUCCAGUUCAGCUUCAGAGCCUAAACUGUUGUUGCAAGAUGCAGUUUUAUUCCACUUUUAGACCAAGCAUCAGCACACUUGGCUUACCGACCCAGUGCUCACUUCUGUGGCUGUAGUGUCAGGGCCUCCCUGCUCCAGGGACAUGUACCCACAUUGUGGGCCCCACCAGUGUCAAAGGACUUGUCUAUUCUUCCAUGAAGCCCCUCUCAGCUCCCUAGGCCAGUACAAGCCUGGCGGACCUGUGUCUCGGGCCAGGUGCACACCAUCCCUCCAUCCACCCCUUCCCUCCCAGGCACCCCCGCUAGAGCAGGAGAGGCAGAUGGGGCUAGUGUUAGGAAGUCCUUCCUGGUAACAGCUCAGUCUUCCAAGAGAGUGUUCCUGAACUGUCAUCUCUGGGUCUCUUGACAGAUCUUUGCCAGAAAGAGUGGAUAUUAGUCCUAUAGUUUUAAGCCCAUUGGGGUUUAUUCGCUAGAUAUCAUAUAACUCCCUCAAAAAAAGGUUUAUGAAAUGCUGAACCUCAGGUUUCAUAGACAUGUUUGUACACUAAGAAUUAUGCAGCAGAAUAUUUUUAAACAUUCGCAGUUUUUUGUAAGCUAUAUAUUUUUGUAUAUUUAAUUGCUAUUUUAAAAUUUUAAUGCAUUUUGCUAAUUACUCUUGUUUAAAAAAUAAGACAUGCAUGUAACUGACUUAAAUGUAAAUAAAAAGCAGAUUUA
Molecule: long non-coding RNA, 6801 nt
Organism: Phocoena sinus (vaquita)
Lineage: Eukaryota; Metazoa; Chordata; Mammalia; Artiodactyla; Phocoenidae
Source: Ensembl